Molecule: small RNA, 30 nt
Filed under: Bombyx mori (domestic silkworm)
Lineage: Eukaryota; Metazoa; Arthropoda; Insecta; Lepidoptera; Bombycidae
Description: ovarian small RNA-14262
Source: RNAcentral
CGAUCCAUCGUUAAGGACGCAUAACCCUAU